RNAcentral lists this ribosomal RNA (345 nucleotides) under uncultured bacterium. Its description in RNAcentral is "bacterial SSU rRNA". It matches the Rfam family "Bacterial small subunit ribosomal RNA", at positions 29 to 358 of the family's 1533-position model. The record is from RNAcentral.
AACGAACGCUGGCGGCGUGGAUAAGACAUGCAAGUCGAACGAGGUUACUCUUGGUAGCAAUACCGAGAGUGACUUAGUGGCGAACGGGUGCGUAACACGUGGGCAAUCUGCCUUAAAGUGGGGGAUAGCUCGGCGAAAGCCGAAUUAAUACCGCAUGUGAUCAGCCAAGACAUCUUGGCGACAUCAAAGCCGGGGCAACCUGGCGCUUUUUGAGGAGCCCGCGGCCAUCAGCUAGUUGGUGAGGUAACGGCCCACCAAGGCUUUGACGGGUAGCUGGUCUGAGAGGACGACCAGUCACACUGGAACUGAGACACGGUCCAGACACCUACGGGUGGCAGCAGUCGA